GGGUUGGUGGAAGGCUGGUUAAACAGUUUGGUUUUCGACCACUACGACCCGGGUUCGAUUCCCGCAUUGAACA
This is a non-coding RNA of Cordylochernes scorpioides, 73 nucleotides long. The record is from the annotation of a GenBank genome assembly. Lineage: Eukaryota; Metazoa; Arthropoda; Arachnida; Pseudoscorpiones; Chernetidae.